CUGACUAUUGCUUGGUUGGAACAUGAAUCAAAUUUUCAUGACGUUGACACGCAUCACAUUUUAUCACUAAUUCUUUUGCAUUCUCCUUCAUAAUAGGCCAAUAGUACCCCUGUUGUAGAGCUUUGAAUGCAAGGAUAAUAACCCCUUUAUGGUUGUUGUAAAUUCCUAUAUGUAUUUCCAAUAACGCUUCACGUGCCUCAAUUGUGCUCAAGCACGGCAAAAUGAAACCUAGCUUAUAGAACUGACCAUCAAUGAUGGCGAAUAAGGCUAUUCAAUUUUCGGUCUCUUAGCCUCAAAAACAUCCUUUGGUAAUUUAUCUUCCACAUGAUAAUCGAUUAGAGGGUCCAUCCAACUUUUCUCAUGCUCCAUGUGUGCUACGCUUGGCUAUUGCAGGACUUGUACCUUUACCAUGCUACGCAGAUUUUUUUGAAUUUUGAUAAUAACGUAAAUUUUUAUGUCUUUCAUCCAUUUAUACUUGUAUUUGUACAAUAAAUUGAUGCCUAAAUGCAUUAGGUACCUUUAUAUCUUGAUUUAGGUUGCAAAGUGGAUGAAUACGAUGGAAAAUACAAGAAAUAAGUGAAAAAAAGACUAAAGUGGAAGAAAUUGGAAGUGCAGGGACCAAGUUGCAAAUAAUUUAAAGAUGAGAUGGGCGAUGGAAUGAUGAUUCCAGAAGGCAAGGGGUAAAUUGGGUACAAUUAGAAGUCAAAAAAAGUGAAAUAUGACCACAACAUUUUCACAAAACAAUUUUCAACUGUACAAAGAUGUUCCAGAUUUUCAACCGGAGAUUGAGAUUCAUUUUUGACCUAGUAAAUGUUCGAAUUGGAAAAGGGAUACCCUCUAGAAAUAUUAUAUCUCUUUGCAUUAUCUUUCCAACGCACUUUAAAUUGCCUCAAUCGAAUAUCGGGAGAUAAAGUUAUGAACAAAAUAUUGAAAGCUGUCUGGCAGAGAAAAAUGGCAACAACCAUGUGACCGCACAACUUUAUACCAUGCGAUCGCACAUAGUGUUAUAGACAAAUUGAUGGCUGAAAAUUGUUGUUUCAUGUGACCACAACACCAAUAACCAUGCAGUCGCAUAGUUCAACUCUGAGGCGAGAAUCUUGGUUUCCUAAUUUUAAUCAAACAUUUAUUGAAACAAAUCUCUUUCAUGAUAUUUAAGCCCUAGAACAUCCCAAAAUGCAGAAUACACAUCUCUAUACUUAUUUUUCUCUAGUUUUUGUGCAAGAUAUCCAUGGAGAACUAAAGAUCUCGAUGAAGCUACGAAGGAACUCAAUCCUGACGAUUUCAAAAUCUUUUAAUUCAUGUAAUUUGCUUUUUCAUUGUCAAACAAUUCUAGGGUUUAAUUUCCUUAUUACAAAUAUGUUUUGAAAUUCGUUUAACGUUUAUUAGAUUCAAUCAUGGUUUUCCCAUUG
This 1409-nucleotide long non-coding RNA is filed under the name Olea europaea subsp. europaea. Lineage: Eukaryota; Viridiplantae; Streptophyta; Magnoliopsida; Lamiales; Oleaceae. The record is from RNAcentral.